GUGCCAGCAGCCGCGGUAAUUCCAGCUCCAAUAGCGUAUAUUAAAGUUGUUGCAGUUAAAAAGCUCGUAGUUGGAUCUCAGGUGCAGGCGGGCGGUCCGGCUCGCGCCGGUCACUGCUCGUAUCUCCUGCCCUACCGUUUGCCGGCUCUCUCCCGUGGGUGCUCUUCACUGAGCGUCCCGGGUGGCCGGUGCGUUUACUUUGAAAAAAUUAGAGUGUUCAAAGCAGGCCUCGGCAGCCUGAAUAAUGGUGCAUGGAAUAAUGGAAUAGGACCUCGGUUCUAUUUUGUUGGUUUUCGGAACGGAGGUAAUGAUUAACAGGGACAAACGGGGGCAUUCGUAUUGCGGCGUUAGAGGUGAAAUUCUUGGAUCGCCGCAAGACGAGCUACUGCGAA
This 392-nucleotide ribosomal RNA is filed under the name Limacina helicina. RNAcentral's name for it is "SSU rRNA". It matches the Rfam family "Eukaryotic small subunit ribosomal RNA", at positions 564 to 949 of the family's 1831-position model. The record is from RNAcentral. Lineage: Eukaryota; Metazoa; Mollusca; Gastropoda; Pteropoda; Limacinidae.